This 303-nucleotide unclassified non-coding RNA is filed under the name uncultured fungus. RNAcentral's name for it is "sequence contains ITS1". The stretch from base 1 to 105 matches the Rfam family "5.8S ribosomal RNA", at positions 50 to 154 of the family's 154-position model. The record is from RNAcentral. Lineage: Eukaryota; Fungi.
GAAAUGCGAUAAGUAAUGUGAAUUGCAGAAUUCAGUGAAUCAUCGAAUCUUUGAACGCACAUUGCGCCCGCCAGCAUUCUGGCGGGCAUGCCUGUCCGAGCGUCAUUUCAACCAUCAAGCCCCGGGCUUGUGUUGGGGACCUGCGGCCGCCCGCAGGCCCCGAAAACCAGUGGCGGGCUCGCUGUCACCCCGAGCGUAGUAGCGUCUAUCUCGCUCAGGGCGUGCUGCGGGUUCCAGCCGUUAAAGCGCUUCUUAUACCCAAAGGUUGACCUCGGAUCAGGUAGGAGUACCCGCUGAACUUAA